CCCAACGCAUCGCGGUGCCGGAGCUAUCCCACACCUCCACCCCAGCCCCAUAGGGCUCAGCCAGGUGACUAAUUAACUCCUGAGCGCUGCUGCAAUUGCACAGCAGACUGCUUUGGAUGUGAUUAAUGUGGGGUUUAUGCAAGGUGAAGCCACGCACAGCCCUGCUUGCUGCCCCCCAUCCACCCCGCUCUGUUAGAGAAAGAUGGGGGGAUGGCCUCCCCAGCCCCUCCACCUAUGGGUGCACUCCAGAUGUGUGUGCUGUGCCACAUCUGCAUGGAGUCGGACCAGGCAGCCCACACACACCCUGGGGAGCCCACGGAGUUUUCCACCAAGGGAAGGACCAACCCAACAGGGUGUGAAGCUGUCCCAGCAGGAUCUGGCUGUGCUUCCACACCAGAUGAUGGAUCCUGUUGCACAGCGUCUGCUGCGGAGCACGUUGGGAUCCAUUGGGAUGGAGUGUGGAACAUAAACGUGACGGAUGAUUAUAGCCAAUGCAUUUGGGUCUACUCAUGGUGGGACGGAUGUGCGUGCACGAUUGCCAGCAAGCAGCAGGAACACCUCCCUGAAGCCUUAUGGGCUGCAGAGCCCUUUGGAUGGUGAUACUGCAGUGCUUGAAGUGGGCACUGCUCCAUGCAAACGGCCCUGGGUAGGACAGAAGCAGCUCCAGCAGUUGCUAUAGCAGCACAGGUGAAGGGCAGGGAUGCUUCAAGUGCUGAGCCCUGAGGAUGCUGCAAGACACGGAGCUGCUUGGCACCUCCAAGAGCAUCCCUGCAGCCAACACGGAGUGCUGCCUUCCAAGCUCUUCCAAGCUGCCUGUGAUGCAUCAUACCCCUAACCCCAAAACACUGCAUCCUGGGGCAGAGCAGCAAGGCUCAUCCCCCCAGGCGGCUCUCCCUGCUGCGAUCCAUAGCGUUGGCUCAUGGCACACGGUGACAGCUCAUUUCACAGGACGGGCUGACUUCACAAUUGUUUGCUCAAGGGGAAACCUGAUCCAAAACAACAGGCUGUUCUUUUGGAGAGCAAACCUGUGCAUUCUAAUUCCCAUUUGUG
Phasianus colchicus (ring-necked pheasant) is the source of this 1050-nucleotide long non-coding RNA. NCBI's taxonomy places the organism in Eukaryota, Metazoa, Chordata, Aves, Galliformes, Phasianidae. The record is from Ensembl.